RNAcentral lists this ribosomal RNA (884 nucleotides) under Escherichia coli. Its description in RNAcentral is "partial 23S ribosomal RNA". It matches the Rfam family "Bacterial large subunit ribosomal RNA", at positions 2045 to 2925 of the family's 2925-position model. The record is from RNAcentral. Lineage: Bacteria; Pseudomonadati; Pseudomonadota; Gammaproteobacteria; Enterobacterales; Enterobacteriaceae.
CUCGCUGUGAAGAUGCAGUGUACCCGCGGCAAGACGGAAAGACCCCGUGAACCUUUACUAUAGCUUGACACUGAACAUUGAGCCUUGAUGUGUAGGAUAGGUGGGAGGCUUUGAAGUGUGGACGCCAGUCUGCAUGGAGCCGACCUUGAAAUACCACCCUUUAAUGUUUGAUGUUCUAACGUUGGCCCCUAAUCGGGGUUGCGGACAGUGUCUGGUGGGUAGUUUGACUGGGGCGGUCUCCUCCUAAAGAGUAACGGAGGAGCACGAAGGUUGGCUAAUCCUGGUCGGACAUCAGGAGGUUAGUGCAAUGGCAUAAGCCAGCUUGACUGCGAGCGUGACGGCGCGAGCAGGUGCGAAAGCAGGUCAUAGUGAUCCGGUGGUUCUGAAUGGAAGGGCCAUCGCUCAACGGAUAAAAGGUACUCCGGGGAUAACAGGCUGAUACCGCCCAAGAGUUCAUAUCGACGGCGGUGUUUGGCACCUCGAUGUCGGCUCAUCACAUCCUGGGGCUGAAGUAGGUCCCAAGGGUAUGGCUGUUCGCCAUUUAAAGUGGUACGCGAGCUGGGUUUAGAACGUCGUGAGACAGUUCGGUCCCUAUCUGCCGUGGGCGCUGGAGAACUGAGGGGGGCUGCUCCUAGUACGAGAGGACCGGAGUGGACGCAUCACUGGUGUUCGGGUUGUCAUGCCAAUGGCACUGCCCGGUAGCUAAAUGCGGAAGAGAUAAGUGCUGAAAGCAUCUAAGCACGAAACUUGCCCCGAGAUGAGUUCUCCCUGACUCCUUGAGAGUCCUGAAGGAACGUUGAAGACGACGACGUUGAUAGGCCGGGUGUGUAAGCGCAGCGAUGCGUUGAGCUAACCGGUACUAAUGAACCGUGAGGCUUAACCUU